GGAUUCAUGUUUUUAAUUAGAAAUUUAUUACAUAAUAUAACAAACAUAUAUCUCUGUGGUGGAGCUAUCACAGCUGUGGACCUGCCUCAGCCUCACUACCCUGCCGCCCUUCCCUAUCUGUUUCCUUAUGGAUGAUAAGAGAACCAUGCCUCUGGGUGAAAAGGGUUCAACUGAUCUUGUAAAUCGUGGGACUGACCAUAAAGUGUGUUUUUGUUUCCAUUAUUGUUAUUUUCCAGAAAUCUACUCAAUGGCCAGUGGCCACUGUAUUCUGUCUUAUUUUCCAGUCUGUCUGCCGCUUCUGCCCUGACCUCUUUCAGUACGGUGUGUUUGGGAGUAGACAUGGUUGCUCCCCAUCUUCACCUUCAGAUGCUAGUUAGAGGCAGGUAGCCUAUAUCUCCCUCUCUGCAGACUAAUGAGGGUAUUUUAUUUCAACAGCAAAAAAACAUUUACACUUGAGUAUUCUCUUCCUGUAUCUGAGAUGACACAGAACUGUAUCUUAAAAUCCUGGCCUCACCAAUAGUCACAGUAACACUGUCUAGCAGAAAUCUGUACAUCUAUAGCACCAAAGUCAACGCUACUAUUUUAUUCUAGUUAGCUAGCAAUCUGACCUUUCACAUUUUCACCUACCACAUUUGAGACAUAUGCUGUCAGGAUUAAUCCAACAAUGCUAAACUACUGAAUAAUAUGAAUCUACUGAGGUUGUCAUUAAUCCAGUGUUCAUCAUUAGUUUCAGCCAGGCUACAGUUCUGUGUGGAGUUCAGUGUCUUUGAGGAAGAUAGAGAGCCGGGAUGCCUGGGGGGUCAAGAGGAGGGGAGGUUUAGAUGGGCCAGGCAAGGCCCAGACAUAGCCUGUGAUAGAUCCACCAUGUUAAACUUCACAGUGCAAACAAGGAGAAAAUCAACAAUGAAAGAAAAACCCUUUGAAUGAUGAUAAGAUCACUAGAUCCAGUGGUGGGUCUACCAGAUACCCUCUCACCGUGUAGAUUUGUGCUUUGUUGAUUAGAAAAGAAGAUGAAGUCGACCGUACAGAGAAACUCAUUGGUGUGAAUGAAGUGUCUGCCUCACCUUUCUGUGUCCCGCAGCAUGGGUUUGCAUCUGUAUAGGCUACCUGUGGUAAACCUACUAAGGGGUCCAACUAGGUUCUCUGUUACUGACGUGUUUUCUAACCAGGAAAGCAACUGGAGUCCAAACUGCACUGUGUGUGUGUGAGCGCAUGUGCAUGCCUGCAUGUGCGUGUGUACAGCAUGUGUGUAUAUAUGAGCUGUGUGUUUAAACCCAUGUCAGCAUCUCUCAGCAUCAGUUAGACAAGCUAUACAACCUUCAUCACAUUUAAACCAAGCAAUACUUUGAUACCUUGUCUCAAAAUAUAUAUAGAAAUGGUAAUAAUGCAAAUAAUAAUUUGUUAAUUCAUAAAAUCUGGUCAUUUUUCAGGAUAUAUAUAUAUAUAUAUAUAUAUAUAUAUAUAUAUAUAUAUAUAUAUAUAUAUAUAUAUAUAUAUAUAUAUAUAUAUUCCUUUACAAAACAUAAAAAAACGCCUGGAGUUCCACUCCAAAAAGGUUGUGCACACACAGUGGAGAAGCUAAAUGAAUGUCUGUAGUUCUCAAGAUUCCCAGGAGAUGGCACCAUAUUACUGAGUAACAGCUCAACAACUUCCAAACUAAAGUAGUCCUAUUAAGAAAAAUACACCAUUGAAAGUUUUUUGUUAUUUUUUGGCACGUUUUUCCCUCUUUGUUUCUUUUUUUUUGUCAGUCCUCUUCAAAAUCACCUCAUCAUAGCAUACCCUAAAAAACUCAAAGUCUGAAAAGGGAAAAGGGAGCAAAGAGUGUGUAACAGGAUGAAACGCAGAGCAGAGAGUGUGUCUCAGGAUGAAACAUGGAGCAGAGAGUGUGUAACAGGAUGAAACGCGGAGCAGAGAGUGUGUAACAGGUUGAAACACGGAGCAGAGAGUGUGUAACAGGAUGAAACGUGGAGCAGAGAGUGUGUAACAGGUUGAAACACGGAGCAGAGAGUGCCAGUGCACCUCGUCAUGAGGAGAGUCAUAGGGAGGUGUUGUAGGGCAGAUGGUAACACUGUAAUUGUCUGUGUCUAUGUCUCCAAUUGAACCACAGCCCAAACCACACACAAUGCCCAAGGCAGACAGGGUCUCUGACACACAGACAGGGGCUAUACAGGAACAGACAGAAUGUAAAGAAGAUUAAACUGUAUCGCUUUCAGCACCCCAGUAUUGUUUUGAUCUCUCUCUUUCUCUCUCUCUCUCUCUCUCUCUCUCUCUCUCUCUCUCUCUCUCUCUCUCUCUCUCUCUCUCUCUCUCUCUCUCUCUCUCUCUCUCUCUCUCAUCAAUGAAUAGAUAUCAAAGGGUCCUAUAAUGAUUACAGAUUUGGAGUUCAGUCUGUGUCUCUGUUUGUGCAAAUGUGUGUGUGCACCACGUGUGAGUGUGUUUGUGUGUGUGAGACACAGCCACUGCCAGGAAUCUCUGAUGGUAUUAAGGCUAAAGUGGACUCACUUCGAGGGUUUGAACUAGCGCACACACACAUACAUACACGCACCACACAGAGGAGAGGGGGGAGUGUACAGAGAGUCAGGGUGUUCCUCCCUUCACAGCCUGCAUGCGCUGUAACGAAUGGUGGCUGUAUUGCUAGCACCGUGUUUUGUGCAAAUCAUCUCCUAGUUCAGAGUUCAUAGAAAGAAUACAAUCUGAUCACACAUUUUUUCCUCAGUGAUUAACUAUGCAUAUAUGCCAAACAUUCAUAAAUAGAUCUAUAUAUUUUUUGAUUUUCAAAAAUGUAUAUGAAAACUAUCAUAUAUACAUUGCUUUUGAUUAAUAUAAAAAAGCAAAUAUUUGUAUUUUGUUCAUAUUUACAGGGUGUAUGUCAUUUUGAGAGGUUUAAAUAUUUUAGUUUCUCUUUUUCUUGGUCACUCUGAAAUUCAGAUUAGGUGAGUGAAUAGAAAAAGUUCUUAAUGUCUUAAUCCAAUAGCUACAAAAUCCACCCCUACAUUAUGGGGGGGCAUAACAAAUAAACACAAACCAACAAUCAACUCUUACAAUAUGGAGGGGGGGGGGGCAUAACAAAUAAACACAAACCAACAAUCAACUCUUACAAUAUGGAGGGGGGCAUAACAAAUAAACACAAACCAACAAUCAAC
Oncorhynchus tshawytscha (Chinook salmon) is the source of this 3143-nucleotide long non-coding RNA. The record is from Ensembl. Lineage: Eukaryota; Metazoa; Chordata; Actinopteri; Salmoniformes; Salmonidae.